Molecule: ribosomal RNA, 306 nt
Filed under: uncultured soil bacterium
Lineage: Bacteria
Description: bacterial SSU rRNA
Rfam family: Bacterial small subunit ribosomal RNA
Source: RNAcentral
AGAACGAACGCUGGCGGCAUGCCUAAUACAUGCAAGUCGAACGAAGGCUUCGGCCUUAGUGGCGCACGGGUGCGUAACGCGUGGGAAUCUGCCCCUUGGUUCGGAAUAACAGUUGGAAACGACUGCUAAUACCGGAUGAUGACGAAAGUCCAAAGAUUUAUCGCCAAGGGAUGAGCCCGCGUAGGAGUUAGCUAGUUGGUGAGGUAAAGGCUCACCAAGGCGACGAUCCUUAGCUGGUCUGAGAGGAUGAUCAGCCACACUGGGACUGAGACACGGCCCAGACUCCUACGGGAGGCAGCAGUAGGG